GUAUCAUUCCUGGGGGAAGUGGCGCGGAAGGAAGGUUACCAGGUCAUGAUAGAGCCUAAGGUGUCAACCCCGGUCGGCGCGCUCAAGCCCGACCUCCUUCUCAUCAAAGCCGACACUGCAUUCAUUGUGGAUGUAGGCAUUGCGUGGGAAGGUGGACGCCCACUAAAGCUGGUCAACAAAAUGAAAUGUGACAAGUACAAGAUUGCCAUCCCGGCAAUUUUGGAAACAUUUCACGUUGGCCAUGCUGAGACGUACGGCGUUAUUCUGGGCAGCCGCGGAUGCUGGCUCAAGAGCAACGACAAGGCGUUGGCAUCAAUUGGGCUCAAUAUCACACGGAAGAUGAAAGAACACCUGAGCUGGUUGACGUUUGAAAACACCAUCCGAAUUUAUAACUCAUUCAUGAAGAACUGAGGUUUUUGUUUUCUUUUACCUUUUACCAUUUUUUAUUGUUACAUUGUUGUUAUUUGCUUUAAUCCUGCAUUUUACCGUCGGCAAUUCCAUCGUUAUUAUUACUGUUAUUGUUAUUAUUAUUACUAUUGUUAUUACUUUUACUUACUAUUGUUAUUACGAUUUAUUUCGUAUACUUACGUUAUUGUUACUACUACUUACUUUGCUCUCGCAAACGUUCGUUGUUGUUACUUUUGGACCAGGUUUAGAGAAAUCGCACGCACAGCGGAACUGGACCGCUUAAGCCAGAAACAGUAAAGUAACAAUAGCCAAAUGCCUCGUCAUCUAAUUAGUGACGCGUAUGAAUGGAUCAACAAGAUUCCUUCUGUCCCUAUCUACUAUCUAGCGAAACCACAGCCAAGGGAACGGGCUUGGCAAAAUCAGCGGGGAAAGAAGACCCUGUUGAGCUUGACUCUAGUCUGACUCUGUGAA
This 879-nucleotide non-coding RNA is filed under the name Trichinella sp. T8. RNAcentral's name for it is "Eukaryotic large subunit ribosomal RNA". It matches the Rfam family "Eukaryotic large subunit ribosomal RNA", at positions 2016 to 2445 of the family's 3401-position model. Lineage: Eukaryota; Metazoa; Nematoda; Enoplea; Trichinellida; Trichinellidae. The record is from Rfam by way of RNAcentral.